GACGAACCUUGCAAACGUUAUUCGGAAUCACUGGGCUUAAAGGGUGCGUAGGCUGUGCAGAAAGUUGGGUGUGAAAUACCUCGGCUUAACCGAGGAAUUGCGCCCAAAACUACUGUGCUCGAGGAAGAUAGAGGUGAGCGGAACUUAGGGUGGAGCGGUGAAAUGCGUUGAUAUCCUAAGGAACACCGGUGGCGAAAGCGGCUCACUGGAUCUCAACUGACGCUGAGGCACGAAAGCCAGGGGAGCGAACGGG
RNAcentral lists this ribosomal RNA (253 nucleotides) under uncultured bacterium. RNAcentral describes it as "partial 16S ribosomal RNA". It matches the Rfam family "Bacterial small subunit ribosomal RNA", at positions 524 to 776 of the family's 1533-position model. The record is from RNAcentral.